UACGAAGGGGGCUAGCGUUGUUCGGAAUUACUGGGCGUAAAGCGCACGUAGGCGGACUAUUAAGUCAGGUGUGAAAUCCCCGGGCCUAACCUGGGAACUGCAUUUGUGACUGCAUAGCUAGAGUCCGUCAGAGGGGGGUGGAAUUCCACGUGUAGCAGUGAAAUGCGUAGAGAUGUGGAGGAACACCGAUGGCGAAGGCAGCCCCCUGGGAUGAGACUGACGCUCAUGUACGAAAGCGUGGGGAGCAAACAGG
Molecule: ribosomal RNA, 253 nt
Filed under: uncultured bacterium
Lineage: Bacteria
Description: partial 16S ribosomal RNA
Rfam family: Bacterial small subunit ribosomal RNA
Source: RNAcentral